RNAcentral lists this unclassified non-coding RNA (214 nucleotides) under plant metagenome. RNAcentral's name for it is "partial contains small subunit ribosomal RNA, internal transcribed spacer 1, and 5.8S ribosomal RNA". The stretch from base 166 to 214 matches the Rfam family "5.8S ribosomal RNA", at positions 1 to 49 of the family's 154-position model. The record is from RNAcentral.
UUUCCGUAGGUGAACCUGCGGAAGGAUCAUUAUCGUUUAAUCCACGUUAAAAACCAAUGGUGGAAUUGUCCAAAAAAUAAAACGAGAUAAACCCAUCAUUAUAAAUAUUUACUAACCAUUUCAUACUCUGGAAACGGAGAUGAGAUAAAUACGAAACUUAAGAACAACUCUUAGCAACGGAUAUCUUGGUUCUCACAUCGAUGAAGAACGCAGC